UUACCGCGGCUGCUGACACCAGACUUGCCCACCCCUUAUCCUGCACCUUUUUUAGAGGUGCCAAAAGACCUCUUAGCGGAAUCACUCAGAGUAACCCUGUCAGGCUUUCGCCUAUUGCAGAGGUUUCGCGCCUGCUGCGCCCCAUAGG
RNAcentral lists this ribosomal RNA (148 nucleotides) under uncultured archaeon. RNAcentral's name for it is "partial 16S ribosomal RNA". The record is from RNAcentral.